UCCGGUUGAUCCUGCCGGACCCCACUGCUAUCGGGAUAGGACUAAGACAUGCUAGUCAAGCGCUCGCCAGCCAAAGGUGAGUGCGGCGCACAGCUCAGUAACACGUGGCUAACCUGCCCUUGGGACGAGGACACCCCCGGGAAACUGGGGCUAAUCCUCGAUAGGUGAAGAACUCUGGAAUGAAUCUCCGCCCAAAAGACGCUUACGUCAUGCUCGUAAGCGCCGCCCAAGGAUGGGGCCGCGACCGAUCAGGUUGUUGGCGAGGUAAUGGCUCACCAAGCCUUUUACCGGUGCGGGCCGUGGGAGCGGGAGCCCGGAGAUGGGCACUGAGACAAGGGCCCAGGCCCUACGGGGCGCAGCAGUCGCGAAAACUUUGCAAUACACGAAAGUGUGACAGGGCUAUCCCGAGUGCCAUCCGCUGAGGAAGGCUUUUACCCAGUUUAGAACGCUGGGGGAAUAAGGAGAGGGCAAGACUGGUGUCAGCCGCCGCGGUAAUACCAGCUCUCCGAGUGGUGUGGAUGUUUAUUGGGCCUAAAGCAUCCGUAGCUGGCUGGGCAAGUCCCCUGUUAAAUCCACCGAUUCAAUCGUUGGAGUGCGGGGGAAACUGCUCGGCUAGGGGACGAGAGAGGCCGACGGUAUUUCCGGGGUAGGGGUGAAAUCCUAUAAUCCCGGGAAGACCACCAGUGGCGAAGGCUGUCGGCUAGAACGCGCCCGACGGUGAGGGAUGAAAGCUGGGGGAGCGAACCGGAUUAGAUACCCGGUAGUCCCAGCCGUAACGAUGCAGGCUAGGUGUUGGGCGGCACGUGCCGCUCUAGUGCGCAGCAGCUGUAGCUGCGCUGGGAGUACGAUCGCAGAUGAACUAAAGAUGGCGGGGAGCACCCACAGGGUGAGCUGCGAUAUGAGUCACGCGAAUCG
Molecule: ribosomal RNA, 915 nt
Filed under: uncultured archaeon
Lineage: Archaea
Description: bacterial SSU rRNA
Rfam family: Archaeal small subunit ribosomal RNA
Source: RNAcentral